CUAUCCUCCCGUCAAUACAGGGCACAUCAGGCUUUCGUAAGGGACAAAUUGAUUCGGGCAAAAAGGGACAAAGUCCCCGACCGAUCUUUUGCUUCUACAUACAAGACUUCGAGCAACCCUUGGGCGUCCAAUGCCUGCUAGCUAAAUAAGAAAAGCAAGAGCGAACGUACAUGGGUGCUAAAUGGUCUACGUCGCACAAAACCUUUUAGCACGAGAUAGAGUAUGGAUCGUGGGACUAGAGCAUUCCGUCAAAAUAGGUAUGCUGCACAGGGGGCCAAGGCAGUCCAAGGUAAAAGAUUUAGCACUCAAACAGAAUUGAACAGGUAUGAACUAGCGAUUAUCGCUGCCAGGGCAGGGAACCAACCAACCGGAACAUACCAAUCACCACUCAUGCUCUACACGUACAACAUGCCUCCAUCACCCGCUAGGUAAAAGCACCUCAAAGACCCUAAAGCCUACAGAUGACUUGACCAUAACAAAUGAAGGAGAAAUGCACCGCUUCACGCGAAUCCAAAGAAAAGUCAAUCCUUUAACCCAACUAAAAAGUGAACUGAAACCCACAAGAAGCACCAACAAAGGCCAGCAACAAUUGCCGCAGAACAAGCCUUGCAUCCGUUCAUAACCAACAAAGAGAUAGCAUUGACAGCGAACACGACUCCAGCCGCGAACAAUUACGUCAUGAUGCUAACCCCGUUUGAUGAGACCGAAUAGGCUAGAUCGGGAGUAACGUUGUCAACAUCAAGCGAUCUCUAAUCAGCCCAUUUUAGACGCUGAUCAGGAGAC
RNAcentral lists this unclassified non-coding RNA (783 nucleotides) under Heracleum sp. type II. RNAcentral describes it as "partial external transcribed spacer". Lineage: Eukaryota; Viridiplantae; Streptophyta; Magnoliopsida; Apiales; Apiaceae. The record is from RNAcentral.